AUGGCCACACCCAUUCAUCCAGAUUCACAGUUGUUAAAUGUUUGAAGGUACGUGUGAGAAUUAAUUAUGUAAUGUCUGGCCAGUGCUUGCUAGCCAGCCACCACAUUAAAAAAAUAAAUACACUUACCUCAAAAAUAAACACCUAAUGGAAACAUUAGAGUGCCAUAAACAAAUAGACACAAUUACCCAACAAAACAAAAAUACCC
Pelobates cultripes (western spadefoot toad) is the source of this 206-nucleotide non-coding RNA. The record is from the annotation of a GenBank genome assembly. NCBI's taxonomy places the organism in Eukaryota, Metazoa, Chordata, Amphibia, Anura, Pelobatidae.